This 214-nucleotide ribosomal RNA is filed under the name Campeiostachys nutans. RNAcentral describes it as "Elymus nutans partial small subunit ribosomal RNA". The stretch from base 46 to 214 matches the Rfam family "Eukaryotic small subunit ribosomal RNA", at positions 693 to 864 of the family's 1831-position model. The record is from RNAcentral. Lineage: Eukaryota; Viridiplantae; Streptophyta; Magnoliopsida; Poales; Poaceae.
GGACCAUCAUGUCGGUCGUGCCUCGGUACGUACUGGCAUUGUCGGUUUCUCCCUUCUGACGAACCAUGAUGUCAUUUAUUUGGUGUUGUGGGGAAUCAGGACUGUUACUUUGAAAAAAUUAGAGUGUUUAAAGCAGGCUCACGCUUGAAUACAUUAGCAUGGAAUAAUGAAAUAGGACGUUUGAUUCUAUUUUGUUGGUCAUAGGGCUAAAGUA